CCCUGGGUGGCAUAGUGGUUUGAGCAUUGGACUAUGACUCUUGAGACCAGGGUUCGAUUCCCAGCUCGGCCA
Molecule: transfer RNA, 72 nt
Filed under: Phrynosoma platyrhinos (Desert horned lizard)
Lineage: Eukaryota; Metazoa; Chordata; Lepidosauria; Squamata; Phrynosomatidae
Description: tRNA-OTHER
Source: RNAcentral